UACGUAGGGGGCAAGCGUUGUCCGGAAUUAUUGGGCGUAAAGAGCGCGUAGGCGGUCCGAUAAGUCGGCUGUGAAAGUCAAGGGCUCAACCCUUGGAUGCCGGUGGAUACUGCAGGGCUAGAGUCCGGAAGGGGCGAGUGGAAUUCCUGGUGUAGCGGUGAAAUGCGCAGAUAUCAGGAGGAACACCGAUGGCGAAGGCAGCUCGCUGGGACGUUACUGACGCUGAGACACGAAAGCGUGGGGAGCAAACAGG
RNAcentral lists this ribosomal RNA (253 nucleotides) under uncultured bacterium. RNAcentral describes it as "partial 16S ribosomal RNA". It matches the Rfam family "Bacterial small subunit ribosomal RNA", at positions 524 to 776 of the family's 1533-position model. The record is from RNAcentral.